GGGGCUGUGGCUCAGUGGUAGAGCGCUCGCUUAGCAUGCGUGAGGCACUGGGUUUGAUCCUUAGUACCA
Molecule: transfer RNA, 69 nt
Filed under: Ictidomys tridecemlineatus (thirteen-lined ground squirrel)
Lineage: Eukaryota; Metazoa; Chordata; Mammalia; Rodentia; Sciuridae
Description: Spermophilus tridecemlineatus (thirteen-lined ground squirrel) tRNA
Rfam family: tRNA
About the family: Transfer RNA (tRNA) molecules are approximately 80 nucleotides in length. Their secondary structure includes four short double-helical elements and three loops (D, anti-codon, and T loops).
Source: Rfam by way of RNAcentral